GACGGGGAGCACUACAACGGGUGGAGCCUGCGGUUUAAUUGGAUUCAACGCCGGAAAUCUCACCGGGGCGACAGCAAUAUGAAGGUCAGGCUGAAGACCUUACCCGAUUAGCUGAGAGGUGGUGCAUGGCCGUCGUCAGUUCGUACUGUGAAGCAUCCUGUUAAGUCAGGCAACGAGCGAGACCCACGUCCACAGUUGCCAGCAUACCCUCCGGGGUGAUGGGUACACUGUGGAGACCGCCGCUGCUAAAGCGGAGGAAGGAGUGGGCAACGGUAGGUCAGUAUGCCCCGAAUCUCCCGGGCUACACGCGGGCUACAAUGGUUGGUACAAUGGGCAUCUACCCCGAAAGGGGAAGGAAAUCUCUUAAAGCCAAUCGUAGUUCGGAUUGAGGGCUGCAGCUCGCCCUCAUGAAGCUGGAAUCCGUAGUAAUCGCGUUUCAACAGAACGCGGUGAAUACGUCCCUGCUCCUU
RNAcentral lists this ribosomal RNA (470 nucleotides) under uncultured Methanosaeta sp. RNAcentral describes it as "bacterial SSU rRNA". It matches the Rfam family "Archaeal small subunit ribosomal RNA", at positions 871 to 1337 of the family's 1478-position model. Lineage: Archaea; Methanobacteriati; Methanobacteriota; Methanomicrobia; Methanotrichales; Methanotrichaceae. The record is from RNAcentral.